This 465-nucleotide ribosomal RNA is filed under the name uncultured bacterium. RNAcentral describes it as "partial 16S ribosomal RNA". It matches the Rfam family "Bacterial small subunit ribosomal RNA", at positions 338 to 795 of the family's 1533-position model. The record is from RNAcentral.
CCUACGGGAGGCUGCAGUAGGGAAUCUUCCACAAUGGGCGAAAGCCUGAUGGAGCAACGCCGCGUGGGUGAAGAAGGUCUUCGGAUCGUAAAACCCUGUUGUUAGGGAAGAAAGUGCGUGAGAGUAACUGUUCACGUUUCGACGGUAUCUAACCAGAACGCCACGGCUAACUACGUGCCAGCAGCCGCGGUAAUACGUAGGUGGCAAGCGUUAUCCGGAUUUGUUGGGCGUAAAUGGAACGCGGGCGGUCUGUUAAGUCUGGUGUGAAAGCCGUCGGCUUAACCGGAGUAGUGCAUUGGAAACUGGGAGACUUGAGUGCAGAAGAGGAGAGUGGAAUUCCUGGUGUAGCGGUGAAAUGCGUAGAUAUUAGGAGGAACACCAGUGGCGAAGGCGGCUUACUGGACUGUAACUGACGUUGAGGCUCGAAAGCGUGGGUAGCAAACAGGAUUAGAUACCCGUGUAGUC